GUGUCAGCCGCCGCGGUAAUACAGAGGUGGCAAGCGUUGUUCGGAAUUACUGGGCGUAAAGGGCGCGUAGGCGGUCUCGUAAGUCCCGCGUGAAAUCCCCCGGCUCAACUGGGGAAUGGCGCGGGAAACUGUGAGGCUUGAGUUCGGGAGAGGGAAGCGGAAUUCCGGGUGUAGCGGUGAAAUGCGUAGAUAUCCGGAGGAACACCGGUGGCGAAGGCGGCUUCCUGGACCGACACUGACGCUGAGGCGCGAAAGCUAGGGGAGCAAACGGGAUUAGAUACCCUUGUAGUCC
Molecule: ribosomal RNA, 292 nt
Filed under: uncultured bacterium
Lineage: Bacteria
Description: partial 16S ribosomal RNA
Rfam family: Bacterial small subunit ribosomal RNA
Source: RNAcentral